GACAGAGGGUGCAAACGUUGUUCGGAAUUACUGGGCGUAAAGCGCGUGUAGGCGGUCCUGUAGGUCAAAUGUGAAAUCCCUCGGCUCAACCAAGGAAGUGCAUUCGAAACCCCAGGACUUGAGUCUCGGAGAGGAAGGCGGAAUUCUCGGUGUAGAGGUGAAAUUCGUAGAUAUCGAGAGGAACACCGGUGGCGAAGGCGGCCUUCUGGACGAAGACUGACGCUGAGACGCGAAAGCGUGGGGAGCAAACAGG
RNAcentral lists this ribosomal RNA (253 nucleotides) under uncultured bacterium. RNAcentral describes it as "partial 16S ribosomal RNA". It matches the Rfam family "Bacterial small subunit ribosomal RNA", at positions 524 to 776 of the family's 1533-position model. The record is from RNAcentral.